AGAUAGAAAAUAGGUGCCCGUACCGCAAACCGACACAGGUAGUCAAGAUGAGAAUUCUAAGGUGAGCGAGCGAACUCUCGUUAAGGAACUCGGCAAAAUGACCCCGUAACUUCGGGAGAAGGGGUGCUCUUUAGGGUUAACGCCCAGAAGAGCCGCAGUGAAUAGGCCCAAGCGACUGUUUAUCAAAAACACAGGUCUCUGCUAAACCGUAAGGUGAUGUAUAGGGGCUGACGCCUGCCCGGUGCUGGAAGGUUAAGAGGAGUGGUUAGCUUCUGCGAAGCUACGAAUCGAAGCCCCAGUAAACGGCGGCCGUAACUAUAACGGUCCUAAGGUAGCGAAAUUCCUUGUCGGGUAAGUUCCGACCCGCACGAAAGGCGUAACGAUUUGGGCACUGUCUCAACGAGAGACUCGGUGAAAUCAUAGUACCUGUGAAGAUGCAGGUUACCCGCGACAGGACGGAAAGACCCCGUGGAGCUUUACUGUAGCCUGAUAUUGAAAUUCGGCACAGCUUGUACAGGAUAGGUAGGAGCCUUUGAAACGUGAGCGCUAGCUUACGUGGAGGCGCUGGUGGGAUACUACCCUAGCU
This 586-nucleotide ribosomal RNA is filed under the name Staphylococcus aureus. Its description in RNAcentral is "partial 23S ribosomal RNA". It matches the Rfam family "Bacterial large subunit ribosomal RNA", at positions 1625 to 2210 of the family's 2925-position model. Lineage: Bacteria; Bacillati; Bacillota; Bacilli; Caryophanales; Staphylococcaceae. The record is from RNAcentral.